GGCGACCGGCGCACGGUGAGGUAGCGCGUAUCGCAACCUACCUAUCAGAGGGGAAUAACCCGGCGAAAGUCGGACUAAUACCGCAUAAAACAGGGGCACGCAUGGUGAUAUUGUUAAAGAGAUUCGCUGAUAGAUGGGCAUGCGUUCCAUUAGGUAGUUGGUGAGGUAACGGCUCACCAAGCCGACGAUGGAUAGGGGAACUGAGAGGUUGGUCCCCCACACUGGUACUGAGACACGGACCAGACUCCUACGGGAGGCAGCAGUGAGGAAUAUUGGUCAAUGGGCGGGGGCCUGAACCAGCCAAGUCGCGUGAAGGAAAAGAAGGAUCUAUGGUUCGUAAACUUCUUUUGCAGGGGAAUAAAGUGCAGGACGUGUCCUGUUUUGUAUGUACCCUGAGAAUAAGGAUCGGCUAACUCCGUGCCAGCAGCUGC
RNAcentral lists this ribosomal RNA (431 nucleotides) under uncultured bacterium. RNAcentral describes it as "bacterial SSU rRNA". It matches the Rfam family "Bacterial small subunit ribosomal RNA", at positions 90 to 518 of the family's 1533-position model. The record is from RNAcentral.